GGCGUGCGUAACACAUGCAAGUCGAACGAGAAAUUCCGGGCUUGCUCGGGAGAGUAAAGUGGCGAACGGGUGAGUAACGCGUGGGUAACCUGCCCCUGAAUCUGGAAUAACUUCGCGAAAGCGAGGCUAAUACCGGAUAUUGUCCCAGGGACUGUGGUUCUUGUGAUGAAAGAUGACCUCUUCACGAAAGUUGUCGUUCAGGGAGGGGCCCGCGUACCAUUAGCUAGUUGGUAGGGUAAUGGCCUACCAAGGCGAUGAUGGUUAGCUGGUCUGAGAGGAUGACCAGCCACACUGGCACUGAAACACGGGCCAGACUCCUACGGGAGGCAGCAGUGAGGAAUUUUGCGCAAUAGGGGAAACCCUGACGCAGCAACGCCGCGUGAGUGAAGAAGGCCCUCGGGUCGUAAAGCUCUGUCAAGUGGGAAAAAAGCUUGUUGGUGAAUAGCCAGCAAGACUGAUGGUACCAUUGAAGGAAGCACCGGCUAACUCCGUGCCAGCAGCC
This 502-nucleotide ribosomal RNA is filed under the name uncultured Desulfobacterium sp. RNAcentral describes it as "bacterial SSU rRNA". It matches the Rfam family "Bacterial small subunit ribosomal RNA", at positions 41 to 516 of the family's 1533-position model. Lineage: Bacteria; Pseudomonadati; Thermodesulfobacteriota; Desulfobacteria; Desulfobacterales; Desulfobacteriaceae. The record is from RNAcentral.